This 660-nucleotide ribosomal RNA is filed under the name uncultured bacterium. RNAcentral's name for it is "bacterial SSU rRNA". It matches the Rfam family "Bacterial small subunit ribosomal RNA", at positions 94 to 788 of the family's 1533-position model. The record is from RNAcentral.
AGUGGCGGACGGGUGAGUAACGCGUGAGAAUCUGCCUUGGGGUCGGGGACAACCACUGGAAACGGUGGCUAAUACCGGAUAAGCCGAUUGGUGAAAGAUUUAUUGCCCGAAGAGGAGCUCGCGUCUGAUUAGCUAGUUGGUGAGGUAAGAGCUCACCAAGGCAGCGAUCAGUAGCUGGUCUGAGAGGACGAUCAGCCACACUGGGACUGAGACACGGCCCAGACUCCUACGGGAGGCAGCAGUGGGGAAUUUUCCGCAAUGGGCGAAAGCCUGACUGAGCAAGACCGCGUGAGGGAGGAAGGCUCUUGGGUUGUAAACCUCUUUUCUCAGGGAAGAAGCUCUGACGGUACCUGAGGAAUCAGCCUCGGCUAACUCCGUGCCAGCAGCCGCGGUAAUACGGAGGAGGCAAGCGUUAUCCGGAAUUAUUGGGCGUAAAGCGUCCGCAGGUGGCGAUUCAAGUCUGCUGUCAAAACACGGGGCUUAACUCCGUAAAGGCAGUGGAAACUGAAUAGCUAGAGUGCCGUAGGGGUAGAGGGAAUUCCCGGUGUAGCGGUGAAAUGCGUAGAGAUCGGGAAGAACAUCGGUGGCGAAAGCGCUCUACUGGACGGCAACUGACACUCAGGGACGAAAGCUAGGGGAGCGAAUGGGAUUAGAUACCCC